Molecule: ribosomal RNA, 243 nt
Filed under: uncultured Actinomycetales bacterium
Lineage: Bacteria; Bacillati; Actinomycetota; Actinomycetes; Actinomycetales
Description: partial 16S ribosomal RNA
Rfam family: Bacterial small subunit ribosomal RNA
Source: RNAcentral
UACUCGAGUGGCGAACGGGUGAGUAACACGUGGGUGAUCUGCCUUGCACUCUGGGAUAAGCUUGGGAAACUGGGUCUAAUACCGGAUAGGAACCGUCUUUAGUGUGGUGGUUGGAAAGUUUUUUCGGUGCAAGAUGAGCUCGCGGCCUAUCAGCUUGUUGGUGGGGUAAUGGCCUACCAAGGCGUCGACGGGUAGCCGGCCUGAGAGGGCGUACGGCCACAUUGGGACUGAGAUACGGCCCAG